Molecule: long non-coding RNA, 746 nt
Organism: Bubalus bubalis (water buffalo)
Lineage: Eukaryota; Metazoa; Chordata; Mammalia; Artiodactyla; Bovidae
Exons: 2
Source: RefSeq, a predicted model, not a curated record
AUGGUCUGAAGGGUUUUGUGCGAGGCCUCUGCACGCAGCGUCCUGUGAACAAGUGAAACUUGGUGUUAUACCUUAUCACCUGGAUUCCGUCUUAUUUUUCCUGGAGGCCUCAGGGAGCUUCGCCUAUGACAAGAGAGAAACCAGGCUAUUUCCAUGUGUGACACCUGGAGAGGUGAGAGCGGAAGACAUUGUGCCUGUACCAUGCUGCCUGCAGGGGGCGCUGAGGAGUAUGUGUGCUCUACAGAAAAGGAGGACCUGUACCAGCUUCCUGCCGGGUCUCAGCAUUUCUUGGUUUUUAUUGAAUGAUUUGCUCUUGCCAGCUCCCUCUGCCUCUUCUGGUUUCCUCAGUCAUCACUGCGACUUUCUUAACCUUUCUGCUCCUGGUUUCUUUGCUCAUGUUAUCUUUUCUGUCCCCCGUCGUUUUUUGUUUUUUGUUUUUGGCUUCUUUGCUUUGCCCCAAUCCCUUCGAAGUGCUUCCUUCCUUUUCUCUAGGGAAUAACUCAUUCCCAAGGUUCUACGUUACCUUCCAGUUGUGGGUUCCUUGAACUCUGGGGUUCCCAAUUUCAUGACUGCCUCCUGUACAAAAUGUCUCUCAUUGCCACCAUGAAAAGUGCUCAUUUUUCUUAUUUCUGGGUUUGCUGAUGUUUGAGGUGCCAAAGUGCAACCUUUGAAUAAUUAAAGCCUUAUGUAGGCAGCUCUGGGGGACUUUUAUGGCUAAUAAAUUCUACGAAAUACUGUUAAUUUAA